GGCCCCGGGGGCUUGCUCCCGGGUGGUAGGGGUAACACCCUCACGCGCCGCCUGCCUGUACCCUCUUUUUACGAGCACCUUUCGUUCUCCUUCGGCGGGGCAACCUGCCGCUGGAACCAAAACAAAACCUUUUUUGCAUCUAGCAUUACCUGUUCUGAUACAAAUAAUCGUUACAACUUUCAACAAUGGAUCUCUUGGCUCUGGCAUCGAUGAAGAACGCAGCGAAAUGCGAUAAGUAGUGUGAAUUGCAGAAUUCAGUGAAUCAUCGAAUCUUUGAACGCACAUUGCGCCCCUUGGUAUUCCAUGGGGCAUGCCUGUUCGAGCGUCAUCUACACCCUCAAGCUCUGCUUGGUGUUGGGCGUCUGUCCCGCCUCUGCGCGCGGACUCGCCCCAAAUUCAUUGGCAGCGGUCUUUGCCUCCUCUCGCGCAGCACAAUUGCGUCUGCGGGGGGGCGUGGCCCGCGUCCACGAAGCAACAUUACCGUCUUUGACCUCGGAUCAGGUAGGGAUACCCGCUGAACUUAAGCAUAUCAAU
RNAcentral lists this ribosomal RNA (534 nucleotides) under Coniothyrium sp. AF8-113. Its description in RNAcentral is "eukaryotic LSU rRNA". The stretch from base 175 to 328 matches the Rfam family "5.8S ribosomal RNA". The record is from RNAcentral. Lineage: Eukaryota; Fungi; Ascomycota; Dothideomycetes; Pleosporales; Coniothyriaceae.